Molecule: RNA transcript, 625 nt
Organism: Otolemur garnettii (small-eared galago)
Lineage: Eukaryota; Metazoa; Chordata; Mammalia; Primates; Galagidae
Gene name: proteasome subunit alpha type-3 pseudogene
Exons: 1
Source: RefSeq, a predicted model, not a curated record
CUGGUGUUCCGUCGGUUUUACCACAGUGAGCUCCAUCGGCACCGGGUAUGACCUGUCUGCCUCUACAUUCUCUCCUGAUGGAAGAGUUUUUCAAGUUGAAUAUGCCAUGAAGGCUGUGGAAAAUAGUAGUACAGCUAUUGGAAUCAGAUGUAAAGAUGGUGUUGUCUUUGGGGUAGAAAAAUUAGUCCUUUCUAAACUUUAUGAAGAAGGUUCCAACAAACGUCUUUUUAAUGUUGAUCGGCAUGUUGGAAUGGCAGUAGCAGGCUUAUUGGCAGAUGCUCGUUCUUUAGCAGACAUAGCAAGAGAAGAAGCUUCCAACUUUAGAUCUAACUUUGGCUAUAACAUUCCACUCAAACAUCUUGCAGACAGAGUGGCCAUGUAUGUCCAUGUGUACACGCUCUACAGUGCUGUGAGACCUUUUGGCUGCAGUUUCACGUUAGGGUCUAACAGUGUGAAUGAUGGUGCACAACUCUACAUGAGCGACCCAUCAGGUGUUUCAUACGGUUAUUGGGGCUGUGCUAUUGGCAAAGCCAGGCAAGCUGCAAAGACAGAAAUAGAAAAGCUUCAGAUGAAAGAAAUGACCUGCCGGGAUAUUGUUAAAGAAGUUGUGGCUCUGCGCCUAUAG